UACGAAGGGGGCAAGCGUUGUUCGGAAUUACUGGGCGUAAAGGGCGCGCAGGCGGCCUCUCAAGUCAGAUGUGAAAGCCCCGGGCUCAACCUGGGAAUAGCAUUUGGGACUGGGAGGCUUGAGAUCGGGAGAGGAGAGUGGAAUUCCCAGUGUAGAGGUGAAAUUCGUAGAUAUUGGGAAGAACACCAGUGGCGAAGGCGGCUCACUGGCCCGGUACUGACGCUGAGGUGCGAAAGCGUGGGGAGCAAACAGG
RNAcentral lists this ribosomal RNA (253 nucleotides) under uncultured bacterium. RNAcentral's name for it is "partial 16S ribosomal RNA". It matches the Rfam family "Bacterial small subunit ribosomal RNA", at positions 524 to 776 of the family's 1533-position model. The record is from RNAcentral.